CCUACGGGAGGCAGCAGUGGGGAAUAUUGCACAAUGGGGGAAACCCUGAUGCAGCGACGCCGCGUGAGUGAAGAAGUAAUUCGUUAUGUAAAGCUCUAUCAGCAGGGAAGAAAAUGACGGUACCUGAGUAAGAAGCCCAGGCUAAGUACGUGCCAGCAGCGGCGGGUAUACGUAGGGGGCAAGAGUUAUCCGGAUUUACUGGGUGUAAAGGGAGCGUAGACGGCAGUGCAAGUCUGGAGGGAAAGGCGGGGGCUCAACCCCCGGACUGAUGUUGAAACUGUACGGCUGGAGUGCAGGAGAGGUAAGUGGAAUUCGUAGUGUAGCGGUGAAAUGCGUAGAUAUUAGGCGGAACACCAGUGGCGAAGGCGGCUUACUGGACUGUAACUGACGUUGAGGCUCGAACGCGUGGGGAGCGAACAGGAUUAGAUACCCGUGUAGUC
This 440-nucleotide ribosomal RNA is filed under the name uncultured bacterium. Its description in RNAcentral is "partial 16S ribosomal RNA". It matches the Rfam family "Bacterial small subunit ribosomal RNA", at positions 338 to 795 of the family's 1533-position model. The record is from RNAcentral.